RNAcentral lists this ribosomal RNA (439 nucleotides) under uncultured Mollicutes bacterium. Its description in RNAcentral is "bacterial SSU rRNA". It matches the Rfam family "Bacterial small subunit ribosomal RNA", at positions 940 to 1382 of the family's 1533-position model. Lineage: Bacteria; Bacillati; Mycoplasmatota; Mollicutes. The record is from RNAcentral.
UGUGUUUAAUUCGAAGAUACACGAAGAACCUUACCAGGUCUUGACAUACCAUUGACAGGCACAGAGAUGUGCUUCUCCUUCGGGCAAUGGAUACAGGUGGUGCAUGGUUGUCGUCAGCUCGUGCCGUGAGGUGUUGGGUUAAGUCCCGCAACGAGCGCAACCCUCAUUGUUAGUUACUACCAUUCAGUUGAGGACUCUAAUGAGACUGCCAACGACAAGUUGGAGGAAGGUGGGGAUGACGUCAAAUCAUCAUGCCCUUUAUGACCUGGGCUACAAACGUACUACAAUGGCCAAUACAAAGAGAUGCGAAGCGGUGACGUGGAGCGAACCUCAGAAAGUUGGUCUCAGUUCAGAUUGAAGUCUGCAACUCGACUUCAUGAAGGCGGAAUCGCUAGUAAUCGCGGAUCAGCACGCCGCGGUGAAUACGUUCCCGGGCCUU